UACGGAGGGUGCGAGCGUUGUCCGGAAUCAUUGGGCGUAAAGGGCGCGUAGGUGGCCCGGUCAGUUCGUGGUGAAAGCGCGGGGCUCAACCCUGCGUCGGCCAUGAAUACUGCCGCGGCUGGAGCACUGUAGAGGCAGGCGGAAUUCCGGGUGUAGCGGUGGAAUGCGCAGAUAUCAGGAGGAACACCAAUAGCGAAGGCAGCUCGCUGGGACGGUACUGACGCUAAGGCGCGAAAGCGUGGGGAGCGAACAGG
This 254-nucleotide ribosomal RNA is filed under the name uncultured bacterium. RNAcentral's name for it is "partial 16S ribosomal RNA". It matches the Rfam family "Bacterial small subunit ribosomal RNA", at positions 524 to 776 of the family's 1533-position model. The record is from RNAcentral.